GCAAAGGUUACUGUUGGCAGUUGGAGUAUGACUGCAGGUGGGAGCUAAAUGGAAAGAAGGUUCUGAGUCGGUAAAAAGGGAAGAAGGAAGACUUAACAGAAAGCCUGUGGCAGAAAAUCCUUAAAAACAUAGAAUGAGUCCAUGGCAGAAAAUCCUUUAGCACACACAUAUGAAGAGCCACAGUAGCCUGAGCAAAAGCAGCAGCCUUGAUCCUAGCGCAAGAGUUUGCUCUAUUUAGAAAGAAGCCAAAAGUACCAUAAGGCACUUAGGUCAGUCACCUUACACCCCUACCUAAGUUGUCGGGAGAUAGGGACUUAUGUAUGAGAUGCCCCAGAAGCAGGACAUCUCAACAAGCAACAAGCAACAAGCAGCUCUAGGCCUGUGAUGCUGUUUUCAGCCAUCUGUGUGCAUUCCUCACUGCUGGCAUUGACCUAUUAGUACCCACUCUGUAAGUGGUUGGAGAGCCAGUCUUGUUGUGUUUGAUUUGAUUGUUGAUUUAAUAAAGUUGUGGU
Long non-coding RNA from Hemicordylus capensis (graceful crag lizard), 512 nucleotides. RefSeq lists it as uncharacterized. NCBI's taxonomy places the organism in Eukaryota, Metazoa, Chordata, Lepidosauria, Squamata, Cordylidae. The transcript is spliced from 3 exons. The record is from RefSeq and is a predicted model, not a curated record.